CGGCGAUGCGAGUGUGAGCCAAUUAUUUUUGAGAGACUUAGUAAUUAAUUCUUUUAUAUGGGAUCUGAAUGUAAUUCUCGCAUUAUUUUUCUCCAACAUUUCUGACUUCCAAUUCGAGACUAAGGUUCCGUUCCCUAAUCCUCACGCUCAUUGUUUCUGUUCUCAAUUCUCAUAUAGUCAUAUCGCUGCACCUUCCAUGGAUUCCUAGUUAUCGCUAUCACCGCAAACCCUAAUUUCGGAUAUCAGCGGCUCAGUUCUCAGGUUUUUAAUGGAUGGGGAUAAUAGCGACUUGGGCAGUGCGCAUGAAGAAAAUAUUGAAGUCAGACCUGAGACAUCGAAUAACUUGGACUUGAAUGUGGAGCAGAACUGUUGUAGCCCCAAUGUUAUACAUAUUAAUGAUGCUCAAUCUGGUCAUCCUUCCACAGGUGAAACCAGUACCAGUAAUGUAUUAGGAAUUGGGACAGAAUUUGAAUCUGAUGAGCAUGCAUACAGAUUCUAUAACAAAUAUGCCAGGUUGGUGGGUUUCAGUGUUCGAAAAGAUUGGGUAAAUAGGAGUAAAGUACAUGGUCAGGUGGUGUCUAGGAAGUUUACUUGCUCCAAAGAAGGAUACCGUAGGAAAGACAAAAGAGACAUUAAUGUGAAGAAACAUAGGAAAGAAACAAGGACUGGUUGCUUGGCUCAUAUGAUCAUCACUCGCCAACCAGAUGGUAAGUACCGAGUUACCCAUUUUGAAGAACAGCACAAUCAUGAUAGUAUAAAUCCUUGUAAUGCUCACACGUUGAUGUUGCAAAAUGAACAAAAUGCUGCUCAAGAUGUAGAAGCUGACCUGAAAAAUACUGUGGGACCAAAGUCAAAGUCAGCAUUUGAAAUGAUGAAUAGAAAAUUUGCAGCUCGUGUGUCUCUUGAUCAAAUUUCUAUGGAUUAUGACAAUCAUCUUCAGUCAGAGAGGGAUAGAGAUAUGAAUGAAGGAGAAGCAGGUCAUUUAUUGGGUUACUUUCAAAGACAGCAUUUUGAAAAUCCCACAUUUUUUUAUUCCAUACAAUUAGAUGUUGAUGAUAAGGUAAGCAAUAUAUUUUGGUCUGAUGACAGUAUGGUACUGGAUUAUGAUUAUUUUGGUGAUGUUAUUUGUUUGGACACAACUUGCAGAACAAACAGAGAACUUCGACCGUUUGUGCAAUUUAUAGGUGUUAAUCAUCACAAGCAGGUGGUGAUCUUUGCAGCUGCACUUCUCUAUGAUGAUACUACUGAAUCAUUUAAUUGGCUAUUUCGUACCUUCAUUAAUGCUAUGUCUGGGAAAAAGCCUAAGGCUAUUCUCACAGAACAAGAAGCUAUUAUUAUUGAAGCCGUCAAUACAGUUUUGCCUGAAACAAACCAUCUUACUUGUGUAUGGCACAUGUAUGAAAACACUUUAAGACACCUGAGUCAAGUCGUUAAGGAUGCUAAUUCUUUUGCCAAUGAUCUUCGAUGCUGUAUUUAUGACCACAAAUAUGAGGAGGACUUUACUCAUGCUUGGGAGGCUAUGUUGGAGAAGUAUGAUCUCCAGAAAAAUGAAUGGUUGAGAUGGAUGUACAGAGAAAGAGAGAAAUGGGCAGUUGUCUUUGGUCGAAAUACAUUUUUUUUGGAUACAAAAGGCUUUCAUUUAGGUGAGAUUUUGUCUCAUAAAUUUAGAGGUUAUUUAAAUUCUGACCUUGAUGUCAUUCAAUUCUUGAAGCAUUUUGAAAGGGUAGUGGAUGAACUACGUUAUGAAGAAAUUGAAGCUAAUGAUGAGAUGAGAAGAUGUUUGCCAAGACUAAUGGGUAAUGUUGUUUUGUUAAAGCAUGGAAGUGAUGUAUAUACUCCAAGGGCAUUUGAAGUAUUUCAGCAAGGAUAUGAGAAGUCUUUAAAUGUUGUUGUUAACCAAUUCAGUAGGAAUGGAUCACUGCUUGAGUAUAAAGCAAAUACGUUUGGACAUAUUAGACAAUAUAAUGUCACAUUCAAUUCUUUGGAUGAUACAGUUGUGUGCAGUUGCAUGCAGUUUGAGCAUGUUGGAUUUUUGUGCGGCCAUGCACUAAAAGUGCUUGACCAUAGGAACAUAAAAGUGGUUUCAUCUGGGUACAUCUUGAAAAGAUGGACAAAAGAGGCAAGGUUCGGAACUGUCAAGGAGAUUUUUGACAUGCAAAAUGAUCCUAAGAUGAUUGUAGCGAGCCGUUACAAGGAUUUGUGCCACAGACUGCUCAAGUUUUCAGCAAGGGCCUCUGAAUCUGAUGAAGCUUAUCGAUUCGCUCAGAGGAAACUUGAUGAGAUAAUGGAAGGAGUUGAGAAAAUCUUGACAUUGAAAGGUGUAGAAACUCAUAUUAUCACCUCCAGUAGCGUUGAUGUAAAUGCUUCUGAGAAUGAGCCUGCAGACAUCUUUCUCAAUGGACAAGCAAUGGAAGAUCAAAAUGAAAGUAACAGAAUGGAUGAAGAAAAAGAAGGGAGUUCUACGCCUGUUAGGGGCCAUCAAACAACUAUGCAUUGCGAUGGAUUAGACACUGAAAGGGUUCUAGAUGUGGAAGUCUCUCCGCCUGAUACUGUUGCCUGCAUUUCAAGUCCUUCUUCUGCAUACGUUUCUUCUCAAUCUACAACACCAAAUCCCAUUAUGCAGGGACUGUAUAAUUUUGAAGCCAACCAUGUGGUUCAGUGCAUGUAUGAACAGUCCAAUCUUGCGCUGGACUCCCAAUCUAACGAUAACACGUACCAUCCACAGAACUUCUUUUCUAACCAACGGGAUUCUCCUGGCCAAUCUCAACUACUUCAGGAGCCUGUAAUCCAAAGCACAUACCAGCAAUCCAUCCGCAGCACUAAUCAAAUGAGACAGGUAAUGGAUAUCCAAAAUCCCCAUUCAUCUUCAUUCUUGCUGUAUGAUCAUAGAUACAGAACUUCAGACGCUGCAUAAGUAAGAGGGAAUGAAAAUGAUUGAAUGAGUUCCCUCUGCUGUACAUAGUUUGAAUUUAUCAACCAUAAAGUUAAUGCUACCAAACGAAAUUUUAGGUACAUUUCACUUGGCUACUCCCCUGGUACAAAAUAUAAGUAGUUUUUUUUUUAAAAUUGCAUAUUAAUAAAGUCUUCAUUCCCAUAAAAAUAUAUAUAUAUAUUUUUUCUUUUACUCCUAGUCUCAAUCACCGAUAUAUUCUAUGAUGAGUGAGAGAUAUAAUCACACAAAGAUUUAUGUUAAUAAAUACAAGGAGUAAAAUGGGACUUUUCUUACAUGUACUAGAUUGUUUAUAUUUUGAAUUAAGAUUAGUUGAAAAAAAUACUUAUAUUUUGGAUCGGAUGGAGUACAUGAUAACGUGCAGAUAUUUUGGUGUGAAUUAUAGCGUGGGCUUGUUCUUGCAGUUGUGAUGACUUGCUGCUUGGUAAGUUAUCUUCGGUUUCAUUUUUACAUUCUGAAAGUCCAUUCAUUUCCUUGUUAUUCACAAUUAUUAAAAAAAAAAAAAAGAAAAUGCUCCCUCCCUGCAUUUUAUAAAACAUUUUAGGAAGUGACUUUAUGUUCUAACUUCUAAAGUAUAGGACGUCUUGAAAAAAAAAGAAAAAAAGCUUCGUUUAUGAUAGUUAUAUCAAUAUUACUAUAAUUAUUUUACUCCUUAAAUAUAUUACUUUCUCUUUCUCCCUUAUUAAUGAAGAGUGUUUUUAGAAUUGUAUAAAAAAUAAUAAUUAAGAUUUCAAACUGUAUUUAAUUGACCUUAUUAAUAUUUGUAAUUUACUAAAAGAUGUCUUGUAAAAGGGAACGGAUGGAGUAGUAUUUUGAAUUUUUUUUUUAACCUUGAAAAAUAGCAUAUGAUCUACUUGCUACAAAAUAUGAGCAAUAAUUUUUUAUUGAUUAAAAUAUCCUUAGAAUUAUUAUAUAAUAUAACAAAUAAUUUUUUCUAUUUAAAAUUUGAAUUUGAAAUGUAAUAAAAAUUGAAUUUAUGCGUUUCAAUGGAAAAUAAUUAUAUACAAUUAAUUCAUGUUAUUCUUAAUGAUAUUUUAAUCCUUUUGUGUAUCUAUUUAAAUUUAAAAAGUUUAUUAUUGCCAUUAAGUGUUUUUCUGUACGUUAGCAAAUGAAUAUUUUCUCAAACAAAUUUAUUAUUUUCCUUUUAUUAAAAGCAUGCGAGUAAAAAUUAUGGCAAGAUUGUUUAUCAUGAACGACCAUGAUUGCUUUGUUUUUGAAAAGGCCAUGGUUAUAGCCUCUUCACUGUCGAAUACGGUAUUAAACAUAUCUUUUAAUCAUUCAUCACUCAUACUUCUCUCCAAUAAUCAAUGCGCAAUCUUAAGCCAUUGAUAUACCAAUGGCUACUUCUUUUUCUUUCUUAAUCACAAUGCAUGGUUUCCACUUUCCACACCGUUUUUGUAUAAAUAUCUGAAAAACAUGUUAUUACACGUAUUAAAUGCCAAGGGCAUAAUAGGAAAAUUUUAUAAAUUUAAAUUCUCUAAAGAUAGAACUAGUGAAUUUCUGUUUGGUUUUCUAUUUUAGGAAAGAGAAGAUUUGUAUUUUUAUAAAAAAAAUAAUAAAAUGAGCGAAAAUUAACAAAAAAAAAAGCUUUCAAAAAAUUACCAAUUUUAAUUUCAAAUGAUUUAAAUCCAAAUUUUAUAUACAUGUAAGCGCAACAUCAUAUAAUAAAUCAAUAGAAGACGAAAUUAUACUAAUUUUUUUAUAGAUGGAGAAUAGAAAUAGUUCAUCUUCCUUGUGCGUCUUCUCCAUUUUCCUGCAUCUCCAUCUUUUCUUGUGUUGCUCAGAUUUCCAAAAUCCUACUACAGGAUGCUCAUGAAGGUUCUGAGAAUGCUCCCAUGGGGUGGCAUUGACAAAUUGAUUAAUUGAUUAUGUGUGCUGUGAAUUAUUGUGAUUAUGAACCUCAGGUUACUAUUUUUGCCUUAACUUUUAUGGAAGCAAACUGAAAGGAGCCCUAUUUGUAGCAGUGUCUGCUCCUAGUUCUUCUCUUCUUUUUGUUUCUGCAGUUCAAAUUCUUCUUUCA
This is an RNA transcript of Prosopis cineraria, 4970 nucleotides long. It is a transcript of the gene named protein FAR1-RELATED SEQUENCE 5-like, with no coding region annotated. The transcript has 6 exons. The record is from RefSeq and is a predicted model, not a curated record. NCBI's taxonomy places the organism in Eukaryota, Viridiplantae, Streptophyta, Magnoliopsida, Fabales, Fabaceae.